RNAcentral lists this long non-coding RNA (1150 nucleotides) under Lactuca sativa (garden lettuce). RNAcentral's name for it is "long non-coding RNA (LSAT_LNC005475)". Lineage: Eukaryota; Viridiplantae; Streptophyta; Magnoliopsida; Asterales; Asteraceae. The record is from RNAcentral.
UUAUAGACGCUUGUAGGGCGUCUGGAACUCUAGUCCGUAUGGUUACGAGUAUCCCGGGUUACCUUAUAAUUAUUUGGCCUUAAGGUAACAGUAUCACACCGGCAAUUUACACUGUAUGCUGGUAACACUUUUUCAGAGUCACACUGUUUUGGCCUUAUAAGACGUAUCUUUCAUUUGAUACUGUCUGGGGUUUGUUUUCUCUGUUUUGACCUUACAAGACGUAUCUUUCAUUUGAUACUGUCUGGGGUCUGUUUCUCACUGUUUUAGACCUUACUAGCGGUACCUUUCAUUUGGUACCUUCUGAGGUCUGAGUCUCUAUUUGUUAGACCAAACCAGGCGUGUCGUUUGUUCGAUACUCUCAUGGAGUCUAUGAUUCCUUGCCUUAUUCAGCAGUCCUCACUGCUGAGGCAUAUGUUUUUCCCUGAUAUCGUUUGCUUUCUUCAAUAAUCAAAUUCAGUAUUUUGAAAAUGAUAGCAAUUUAGGGAAAAUGACUUUUUACCACAUAACACUGACCAGUCUUGGUAGAAGGCUGCUUUAUUAAAGAAAAUAUAGGAUUUUCUGGAAAGAACUCUAAUACACAGUAAACACUUAAACUACUACUUUAUAAAGUUAUUUGAAUAAAUGUCACUAAAUGCAUAUGAACUCACCAGCAUUUGUAAAAAUGCUGAUACUCGCUUUUCAAAUAACUUGUAUUCUCAGGUUAGCAUUAGACAGGUACACCCCCGGAGCUGUUGAUGAAGACGGCUUAGUACCUUGCUGCACUUAUUAUAUUUACUUGUAUUACUUCGAUGUAUUGUAAUGUAACCAUGUAAAAUUAUUACUAUUAAUGCAAUGUUUUGUUGUACUUUGAUUACUAUAAUGCAUGUGUUGUGAUACUUGACAUGACGUCAUCCACCCCAGAACGUUUCCGCCGUUCCGGUUUUGGGGUGUGACAGGGGCGCCCGUCCUACCCUUGUCAAGCCAUUAUGGGGUGCUGACCUACCCAUGUCAAUCCAUUCUAGGGUGCUGACCUACCCUCCGGUCUAUCUCAACCGAACACGGAGACUAUUUCACCCCUACUACUAACACAUAAUAUCAUAUCACAAUCAUGUUGUCAGACAUAGCUGGGGUGUCCGACCUACCCAUUGAUCCUAACGACCAAAUUGGGGAC